Molecule: ribosomal RNA, 1029 nt
Filed under: Morosphaeria ramunculicola
Lineage: Eukaryota; Fungi; Ascomycota; Dothideomycetes; Pleosporales; Morosphaeriaceae
Description: SSU rRNA
Rfam family: Eukaryotic small subunit ribosomal RNA
Source: RNAcentral
AGCAAUUAUACCGUGAAACUGCGAAUGGCUCAUUAAAUCAGUUAUCGUUUAUUUGAUAGUACCUUACUACUUGGAUAACCGUGGUAAUUCUAGAGCUAAUACAUGCUGAAAACCUCAACUUCGGAAGGGGUGUAUUUAUUAGAUAAAAAACCAAUGCCCCUUGGGGCUUCUUGGUGAUUCAUGAUAACUUCUCAGAUCGCAUGGCCUUGCGCCGGCGACGGUUCAUUCAAAUUUCUGCCCUAUCAACUUUCGAUGGUAAGGUAUUGGCUUACCAUGGUUUCAACGGGUAACGGGGAAUUAGGGUUCGAUUCCGGAGAGGGAGCCUGAGAAACGGCUACCACAUCCAAGGAAGGCAGCAGGCGCGCAAAUUACCCAAUCCCGACAUGGGGAGGUAGUGACAAUAAAUACUGAUACAGGGCUCUUUUGGGUCUUGUAAUUGGAAUGAGUACAAUUUAAACCUCUUAACGAGGAACAAUUGGAGGGCAAGUCUGGUGCCAGCAGCCGCGGUAAUUCCAGCUCCAAUAGCGUAUAUUAAAGUUGUUGCAGUUAAAAAGCUCGUAGUUGAACCUUGGGCCUGGCUGGCAGGUCCGCCUCACCGCGUGUACUUGACCGGCCGGGCCUUCUCUUCUGGAGAACCUCAUGCCCUUUACUGGGCGUGUUGGGGACCAGGACUUUUACUUUGAAAAAAUUAGAGUGUUCAAAGCAGGCCUUUGCUCGAAUAUGUUAGCAUGGAAUAAUAGAAUAGGACGUGCGAUCCUAUUUUGUUGGUUUCUAGGACCGCCGUAAUGAUUAAUAGGGACAGUCGGGGGCAUCAGUAUUCAAUUGUCAGAGGUGAAAUUCUUGGAUUUAUUGAAGACUAACUACUGCGAAAGCAUUUGCCAAGGAUGUUUUCAUUAAUCAGUGAACGAAAGUUAGGGGAUCGAAGACGAUCAGAUACCGUCGUAGUCUUAACCAUAAACUAUGCCGACUAGGGAUCGGGCGGUGUUUCAAUAUUGACUCGCUCGGCACCUUACGAGAAAUCAAAGUGUU